RNAcentral lists this ribosomal RNA (440 nucleotides) under uncultured bacterium. Its description in RNAcentral is "partial 16S ribosomal RNA". It matches the Rfam family "Bacterial small subunit ribosomal RNA", at positions 338 to 795 of the family's 1533-position model. The record is from RNAcentral.
CCUACGGGAGGCAGCAGUGGGGAAUAUUGCGCAAUGGGGGCAACCCUGACGCAGCAACGCCGCGUGAUUGAAGAAGGCCUUCGGGUUGUAAAGAUCUUUAAUCGGGGACGAAUUUUGACGGUACCAGAAGAAUAAGCUCCGGCUAACUACGUGCCAGCAGGCGCGGUAAUACGUAGGGAGCAAGCGUUAUCCGGAUGUACUGGGUGUAAAGGGCGUGUAGGCGGGCAUGCAAGCCAGAAGUGAAAUCUGGGUGCUUAACCCCCAAACUGCUUUUGGAACUGCGUGUCUUGAGGGAUGGAGAGGCAGGCGGAAUUCCCAGUGUAGCGGUGAAUGCGUAGAUAUUGGGAGGAACACCAGUGGCGAAGGCGGCCUGCUGGACAUUAACUGACGCUGAGGCGCGAAAGCGUGGGGAGCAAACAGGAUUAGAUACCCUGGUAGUC